GAUGAAGAACGCAGCGAAAUGCGAUAAGUAAUGUGAAUUGCAGAAUUCAGUGAAUCAUCGAAUCUUUGAACGCACCUUGCGCCCUUUGGCUAUUCCGAAGGGCAUGCCUGUUUGAGUAUCGUGAACACCUCAACUCUCAUGGUUUGCCAUGAUGAGCUUGGACUUUGGGGGUUUUGCUGGCCUUUGGUCCGCUCCUCUCAAACGGAUCAGCUUUCCAGUGUUUGGUGGCGUCACGGGUGUGAUAACUAUCUACGCCUGUGGUUUUCUGCCAGAUAACCUUCAGCGAUGGAGGUUCGCUGGGGCUCAUAAAUGUCUCUCUUCAGUGGAGACAGCUUUUUGGACGUUUGAUCUCAAAUCAGGUAGGACUACCCGCUGAACUUAAGCAUAUCAAUAAGCGGAGGA
This 402-nucleotide unclassified non-coding RNA is filed under the name soil metagenome. RNAcentral describes it as "partial contains 5.8S ribosomal RNA, internal transcribed spacer 2, and large subunit ribosomal RNA". The stretch from base 1 to 121 matches the Rfam family "5.8S ribosomal RNA", at positions 35 to 154 of the family's 154-position model. The record is from RNAcentral.